This is a long non-coding RNA of Pipra filicauda (Wire-tailed manakin), 408 nucleotides long. RefSeq lists it as uncharacterized. The transcript is spliced from 3 exons. Lineage: Eukaryota; Metazoa; Chordata; Aves; Passeriformes; Pipridae. The record is from RefSeq and is a predicted model, not a curated record.
GAAAAUCCUGAAUGUUUUGAAAGAAAGUAGCAGAAAAUAGAGGACAACUCUGAGCCCCUCAUGUCUCCAAGCCAACUGUUUACUCCUUCUCUCCUACUCAUUUCAUAUUUCCCAUAUGAGAAAUGGAAGCCCUACAAGUAUUUCUAGCUUAGAAGACACUACCCUUGUUGUAAUGUGUUGUAUUGGUGACUGGGUAGUUCCAGGGGCUAAUGAGGAGAUAUAAAAUCACAGUGAACCCAAGUGACCAUUUCGAAUCUAACCCAAACAUGGCAAUAAAUAUGUCCAAGCUCCAACAUUUUCUCCAGUGUGCAAAAUGCCUUUGCAAGAGCCCGGAGAGAUUCCCGCUGGUCUCUGCAGGAUUUGGCUUGAGCUCCUCUGCAGGAAUUAGUUCGUGCCAGUGGAAGUAAA